GAUGAACGCUAGCGACAGGCCUAACACAUGCAAGUCGAGGGGUAGCACAGGAUAGCUUGCUAUUUGGGUGACGACCGGCGCACGGGUGAGUAACGCGUAUGCAACCUGCCUAUAAGAGGGGGAUAGCCUUUCGAAAGAAAGAUUAAUACCGCAUAAUACUAUUUACCUGCAUAGGUAAAUAGUUAAACUAUUUGGCUUAUAGAUGGGCAUGCGUUCCAUUAGAUAGUUGGUGAGGUAACGGCUCACCAAGUCAGCGAUGGAUAGGGGUUCUGAGAGGAAGGUCCCCCACACUGGUACUGAGACACGGACCAGACUCCUACGGGAGGCAGCAGUGAGGAAUAUUGGUCAAUGGGCGAGAGCCUGAACCAGCCAAGUCGCGUGAAGGAUGAAGGUCUUAUGGAUUGUAAACUUCUUUUAUAAGGGAAUAAAAAAGAUCACGUGUGGUCUAUUGCAUGUACCUUAUGAAUAAGCAUCGGCUAACUCCGUGCCAGCAGCCGCGGUAAUACGGAGGAUGCGAGCGUUAUCCGGAUUUAUUGGGUUUAAAGGGUGCGUAGGCGGUUUAUUAAGUCAGUGGUGAAAGUUUUCGGCUCNACCGUAAAAUUGCCAUUGAAACUGGCGAACUUGAGUACAGUANAGGUAGGCGGAAUUCGUGGUGUAGCGGUGAAAUGCUUAGAUAUCACGAANA
RNAcentral lists this ribosomal RNA (685 nucleotides) under uncultured prokaryote. RNAcentral describes it as "bacterial SSU rRNA". It matches the Rfam family "Bacterial small subunit ribosomal RNA", at positions 28 to 705 of the family's 1533-position model. The record is from RNAcentral.